UGUUUCGGCUAGGGGGUCAUCCCGACUUACCAACCCGAUGCAAACUACGAAUACCGAAGAAUGUUAUCACGGGAGACACACGGCGGGUGCUAACGUCCGUCGUGAAGAGGGAAACAACCCAGACCGCCAGCUAAGGUCCCAAAGUCAUGGUUAAGUGGGAAACGAUGUGGGAAGGCACAGACAGCCAGGAUGUUGGCUUAGAAGCAGCCAUCAUUUAAAGAAAGCGUAAUAGCUCACUGGUCGAGUCGGCCUGCGCGGAAGAUGUAACGGGGCUAAACCAUGCACCGAAGCUGCGGCAGCGACACUAUGUGUUGUUGGGUAGGGGAGCGUUCUGUAAGCCUGCGAAGGUGUGCUGUGAGGCAUGCUGGAGGUAUCAGAAGUGCGAAUGCUGACAUAAGUAACGAUAAAGCGGGUGAAAAGCCCGCUCGCCGGAAGACCAAGGGUUCCUGUCCAACGUUAAUCGGGGCAGGGUG
Molecule: ribosomal RNA, 473 nt
Filed under: Klebsiella pneumoniae
Lineage: Bacteria; Pseudomonadati; Pseudomonadota; Gammaproteobacteria; Enterobacterales; Enterobacteriaceae
Description: partial 23S ribosomal RNA
Rfam family: Bacterial large subunit ribosomal RNA
Source: RNAcentral